This is a long non-coding RNA of Medicago truncatula (barrel medic), 578 nucleotides long. RefSeq lists it as uncharacterized. The transcript is spliced from 2 exons. Lineage: Eukaryota; Viridiplantae; Streptophyta; Magnoliopsida; Fabales; Fabaceae. The record is from RefSeq and is a predicted model, not a curated record.
CUUAUAAAGCGAUAAAAAAAAUCAAUUUAUUACAUGCAAAAGUGAAAAAAUAUGGCUCAUAUUCUCAUGUUUACUUAUGUUUUGAUCAUUUUUCUUUUUUCAUUUAGAAGUAAAUUUUCAUGUAAGACAAUAUUUAAUUGUCCAGCCCUUGUAUAUCAUCAACAUGCGAGUUGCCUUGAUGGUUUUUGUUGGUACGAGGAAAAGUUUGAGGAUGAAUGAUGCAGAAGGAUGUUCUUUCUUUAUUACUAUUCUGCUGCAGAUUGUGUUUUCUUUUCUCUUUGCUAAUAUCCGUUCUGUGUUGAUAACAUAAAGCAACCACUGCCUUCUUCUUCUUCUUCUUGUUAUGAUCUUUUCUUAAAAUAUAUUUUUAAUGUUAAUUUUUACAUUGUAAUUUGAUAAUUUAUUGAAAUAGCGUAGUAUCUGGAAAACCAAAAAGGGAUGAUUGAAUUGAUGUUGCGACAUGCUCUGAUGCAAAACUAAUGUGUUUUUUUUUUUUUUUUCUUCUUCUGAGGAAUUUAAAACUAAUGUAUUGGUCUUGGAUAAUUGAUAAUGAAAAUGUGACGUGGCAGUGGUAUGAA